Molecule: non-coding RNA, 18 nt
Filed under: Arabidopsis thaliana (thale cress)
Lineage: Eukaryota; Viridiplantae; Streptophyta; Magnoliopsida; Brassicales; Brassicaceae
Also listed under: 2 other names
Source: RNAcentral
CGGACCAGGCUUCAUUCC